This 85-nucleotide transfer RNA is filed under the name Felis catus (domestic cat). It matches the Rfam family "tRNA". From Rfam's summary of the family: Transfer RNA (tRNA) molecules are approximately 80 nucleotides in length. Their secondary structure includes four short double-helical elements and three loops (D, anti-codon, and T loops). The record is from Rfam by way of RNAcentral. Lineage: Eukaryota; Metazoa; Chordata; Mammalia; Carnivora; Felidae.
GCCUGGGGGGCUCAAUCGGUUGAGCGUCUGACUUCGGUUCAGGUCACGAUCUUGUGGUUUGUGGGUUCAAGCCCCACGUCGGGCU